This is a long non-coding RNA of Papaver somniferum (opium poppy), 3019 nucleotides long. RefSeq lists it as uncharacterized. The transcript has 9 exons. The record is from RefSeq and is a predicted model, not a curated record. NCBI's taxonomy places the organism in Eukaryota, Viridiplantae, Streptophyta, Magnoliopsida, Ranunculales, Papaveraceae.
AUGGGGCGAGAAAACGAAUUUUGACGAUACUUGGAGCUGAGAAAUUUCAUUCCAAAUCAAAUGAAAAAGGAAGAAUAUGUUGAUGAUAAAGCAAAGAAAAUUAGAUGCAAUCUUAUCUUUCUUUUGUGCUUACUGGAGAAUAUUUAAUCGCUUUUUCUUGACAGGACUGUAUAUCUGAUCCCUGUGAUUCCUAUGAAUUUGAAGACACCAACUCAUGAAUUUGUUCCUUUUUCCAUUUAAUUUCAUAGUCAUGAAACCUGUCACUUCAAUCAAACCCAAACUCAUGAAUCUGUUCACCAUUAUUCGCAGUACCAACAGUCAUAUAAUUAGUCUGUACAAUCCCCUUAUUAUUCCCUAAGAACUCAAAAUGAAUCGUAUCUUGUGAUUUAUAACCUUCUAAUGAAUAUAAGUAAAGAUUGAAACUCAAACCGUCUGUAUUGCCAUCAAGACAUUUGAUAUUAGCUUCAAAUAUACCGUACUGGUAGCGAUUCUUUUUUCUCCAUCUUCAUCCACAGAGGGUAAUCCAAAUUAGGCUAAAACCACCAUGUUUAUGUUUUUUUAGAGAAAAUUCUUAAAUGGGUUUGUAAAACAAGGUUUGAUAAUCAUAGAUCUACAGCUAAAACUUGUUUUCAUUGAAGAAAUUUCAGAUUUUUAUUAAAUCAGAUCGGAUUUGGAGAUGGAGGAGAAAGAGAGAAGAAAAAGAAAGAAGAAAAGUAUAAUUUCAAUAAUUUUGGGUCGGGGAAUAAUUUUUUUCUGAAAACUGCGCGCCUUUAAAUUUCUGGAUGUGGGUUUCACAUUGGAAGAAAUUGGAAAAAUGGGUCUCCUAUAGUUUUCAUUAUUAAUUUUCCCAAGGGCUAAACCUACCAACCUUCUAUCCGUGGGCCAAAGCCCAUUCCAAUGUCAGUUAGCAUCAAUCUCAGGCGUUCACUCCCUUAAAUCCAAACCAUUUCACUCCAAACCUUCUUCUCUCCUCUCCACGGACAAAUUAAACUAGGUUUUACAAAAAAGGAAAACAAAGUUUUGAUUCAUUUUCCUAAUCUAUAACAAAUAAUGGCAAGCAAAAAACAGAAGUUCGUUUCUGAUGGAGUGUUCUUUGCUGAGCUUAACGAAGUAUUGACAAGAGGACUUGCUGAAGAUGGUUAAUCGUACAGUCGUACUCAAAAUGCCCUAGAUGAAAAGGGAAGGAGGAUUAGAGAAUUGACUUCUGUAGUACAGAAGAGGUCUAAGUUAACAACAGAGCUUUAUGUCAUCAUGUGCUAUUGCUCAAUCUGAGUCUCUCAGAUACAAGCUUCUUGGUGGGCUUGCUGUUCGUAGGGCCUACUAUGGUGUUUUGAGAUUCGUCAUGGAAAGUGGUGCGGACGGUUGUGAUGUUGUUAAUUGUGAGUGGAAAGCUUAGGGAAUUUCGUGCAAAGACAAUGGAGUUCAAGGACGAGUACAUGAUUUCUUCUAGUCAGGCUGUUAGACAUGUCUUCUAGACAGGUUUUUAUGAGAGCUUAGUGCAGCUCGUGCAAAGUCAAUGAAGUUGAAGGAUGGGUACAUGAUUUCUUCUGGUCAGCCUGUUAACGAGUACAUUGGCUCAGCUGUUAGACACGUCCUCCUUAGACAGGGCCUGCUGUGUUCGCCAUGGAAAGUGGUGCCAAAGGUUGCGAUGUUAUUCUAAGUCAAUGAAGUUCAAGGAUGGAUACAUGAUUUGACAGAGCUGUUAGACACGUCCUUCUUAGACAGGGUGUUCUCAGUAUCCACCCGAUGGAAAGAAUGGUCCAUUGACUCAUUACCCGAAGUUGGGUAUUUCAUUAGCACGCCUUCAGUGUUACUAACUACUGAGAUUGAAAUGCCACGUCAAUUAGGAGUUCCCUCUCAAAUGAUAGUAGCUUAAAAUUGACGUGGUUUCUAGUUUGUAGUCGUGUGAGUUUCUGUAGUAAUUUAUCAGAAGAGGAUUUUGAAUGAUAAUACUUCUCAGUUUUAUGUGGGUUUCUAGUUUGUAAGUUCUAGUAGUCUAAAGAAAACUCUUUUCAAAAGCCAGAUUAUGUUUUUUCUCUUCCAUUUUAUUAGAUUUCCGAUACGGGAAAUCUCUAUCGUUAUACCUUGUAGGUAUGGCUUAUAGUGUGGUGUCUCGGCCUAGGUUAUCCUUGUGGGAAAUCUCAAUCGUUUGUGCUUCAACUUACACAGAAACUGAGUUUCCGUGUGAUUAAGCUACACGGAUGAGAAGAUGGCGGCCCUUAUCCCAUUCAGUGUCUUUUUUUUUUUUUUUUUAUCAGAUCAGUGUCAGUAUUUAGUAUUAGUCUUAUUAGUAGCAAUUAUCUUAUUAGCGAGUGCCUUUAUCAAUUGUAAUGGAUGGGUUAGAUUUAGCCAUCUGGUGGCAUUAGCUAUUGGAUGUAUUUCGAAGAGUCGAGCUUUAUAAGCUCCAGGUCUGUAAUAGUUAGGGUUACCCUAAACCUAAAGAGCUGCAGGACUCACAAUGAAACUUUUCUAGGGUUCUUCGGUCAUUAUCGACAAUGGUUUCUUCUUCUUCUUCAAAUCGUAUGAUUUGCAAAUCACUAACAAAUGAUAUCUUGAUUGAGAUCUGUAGCUAUCUUCCUUUGGACUCGAUUUGGAGAUUCAAAUGCGUCUCGAAGGUAUGGUUAUCUAACCUCUCAAACCCUCAAUUCAUGAUGAAAUGGCUUCAAAUUAAUAACAAAUCUCUCCCAUGGAUACACUAUCAUACAAUUACUUCCGGAAGUUCUCGUAAAAUUGAUUUCAAUAUUAGAAAUGCAUAUCCCGAUUCACAUUCACAGUUUAUGUCUAGAUUUAGUCAUGGAUUCUCUUUUGAGUUCCUCAGAAAUCAGAGAGGUGAUAGAUUAAACCUGUUAGGUUCUAGUAAUGGUUUGGUAUUUUGUCAAUCAUUUGGGUUAUUUUAUGAGAGUAGGUAUCAUGUUUGUAAUCCACUGACUCAGAAAUGGGUUGCACUUCCUUCACCACCGCACAUACUGGAUAAAGGAUUUGAUGUUAGUGGCUUAUUUUGCGAGUAUUCAUCAUCAUC